GCCUGGGUAGCUUGGUCGGUUAAGCGUCCGACUUCGGCUCAGGUCAUGAUCUCAUGGUCUGUGGGUUCGAGCCCCACGUCGGGCU
Molecule: transfer RNA, 85 nt
Filed under: Felis catus (domestic cat)
Lineage: Eukaryota; Metazoa; Chordata; Mammalia; Carnivora; Felidae
Rfam family: tRNA
About the family: Transfer RNA (tRNA) molecules are approximately 80 nucleotides in length. Their secondary structure includes four short double-helical elements and three loops (D, anti-codon, and T loops).
Source: Rfam by way of RNAcentral